GACGAACGCUGGCGGCGUGCCUAAUACGUGCAAGUAGAACGCUGAAGGAGGAGCUUGCUUCUCUGGAUGAGUUGCGAACGGGUGAGUAACGCGUAGGUAACCUGCCUGGUAGCGGGGGAUAACUAUUGGAAACGAUAGCUAAUACCGCAUAAUAGCAGUUGUUGCAUGAUAACUGUUUGAAAGGUGCAAUUGCACCACUACCAGAUGGACCUGCGUUGUAUUAGCUAGUUGGUGGGGUAACGGCUCACCAAGGCGACGAUACAUAGCCGACCUGAGAGGGUGAUCGGCCACACUGGGACUGAGACACGGCCCAGACUCCUACGGGAGGCAGCAGUAGGGAAUCUUCGGCAAUGGACGGAAGUCUGACCGAGCAACGCCGCGUGAGUGAAGAAGGUUUUCGGAUCGUAAAGCUCUGUUGUAAGAGAAGAACGAGUGUGAGAGUGGAAAGUUCACACUGUGACGGUAUCUUACCAGAAAGGGACGGCUAACUACGUG
This 495-nucleotide ribosomal RNA is filed under the name uncultured bacterium. RNAcentral's name for it is "partial 16S ribosomal RNA". It matches the Rfam family "Bacterial small subunit ribosomal RNA", at positions 28 to 507 of the family's 1533-position model. The record is from RNAcentral.